GGGUCGGUGGUGUAGUGGUAACAUGUGUCGCGGCUACAGUCUUUCCCGCGAUUCGUUCCAGGUUCGAUUCCUGGCUGACCUG
This is a non-coding RNA of Phyllosticta capitalensis, 82 nucleotides long. The record is from the annotation of a GenBank genome assembly. Lineage: Eukaryota; Fungi; Ascomycota; Dothideomycetes; Botryosphaeriales; Phyllostictaceae.